Molecule: ribosomal RNA, 738 nt
Filed under: Triticum aestivum (bread wheat)
Lineage: Eukaryota; Viridiplantae; Streptophyta; Magnoliopsida; Poales; Poaceae
Description: partial small subunit ribosomal RNA
Source: RNAcentral
AUGCAGAUCUUUGUGAAGACUCCCACUGACAGGACCAUCACUCUUGAUGUUGAGAGUUCAAAUACUAUUGAUAACGUGAAGGCUAAGAUUCAUGAAAAGGAGGGCAUCCCUCCAUACCAGCAGUGUCUCAUAUUUAUUGGCAAGCACCUCGAAGAUAACCGCACCUUGGCCGACUAUGACAUUAAAAAGGAAUUCACCAUUUAUCUUUUCCCCCGCCUCGAAGGAGGGAUGGGGAUUUCCGUGGAGACCCUUUAUGGCAAGGUGAUCACCCUGCAAGUCGAUCCAUCAGAUACCAUCCAAGCCAUCAUGGCAAAGAUUAACGAUGAGUAUGGCAUUCAUCCAGCCCAGCAGCGCCUCAUCUUUAACAAGCAAAAGCUGGAGUGCCGCUAUCCUUUGAUGUACUAUGACAUCCAAAAUGGAUCCACUCUCGACCUUGUCGUCUGUCAACGACCAAAACUGAUGCAGAUCUUUGUCAGGAAUUUGUCAGGAAAGACGUUGGUGUUUCAGGUUAGGAGCUCGGAUACAGUUUAUAGUGUCAAGGAGAAGAUUCACCAGGUGGAAGGCAUUGACCCGAACGAACAGCGUCUGACCUAUGGAAUCCAGCUAGAGGAUGACCUCACAUUGGCAGACCAAGAUAUCGAAGAGCACUGCACUCUUCAUCUUAACCUCCGCCUCCUGUCAUGUAUUAACUGCACCACAAACAAUCACUCGACUGCACGUAAAAUGUGUCACAAGUAA